CACAAGGCCAAACAUGUAGUUCUGCAAUUGGAGUUAGGACGAUGACGCACUGUUUUCGAUAUCCAAUUCGAUGGCAAUUUUGGUGCCAGCACCCGCAGUAAUUCCAGCUCCAAUAGCGUAUAUUAACCUUGUUACAGUUAAAUAGCUCGCAUUUGAAUAGAAGUGAACUUGGGAAGAAGUGAUCUUCGGAUGACAUGAAUCAAAGUUGACUCAUUCCAAAGUCAAUACAUUGGUUUUCAUUUAUCUAUGUAUUGUGUAUGGUCAUUUACUGUGAGAAAAUUAGAGUGUCCAAAGCGGACGUUUGUUUGAAUACAUUGGCAGGGAAUAAUCAUAUAUGGCAUUCAUGGUGAUUUGAUUGGUCCGAAUAUGGAAGCAAGAUUAAAAGGGACAGCAGGGGG
This 398-nucleotide ribosomal RNA is filed under the name Blastocystis hominis. Its description in RNAcentral is "SSU rRNA". It matches the Rfam family "Eukaryotic small subunit ribosomal RNA", at positions 477 to 888 of the family's 1831-position model. The record is from RNAcentral. Lineage: Eukaryota; Bigyra; Opalinata; Blastocystidae.